Molecule: long non-coding RNA, 2781 nt
Organism: Symphalangus syndactylus (siamang)
Lineage: Eukaryota; Metazoa; Chordata; Mammalia; Primates; Hylobatidae
Source: RefSeq, a predicted model, not a curated record
GGCCUCCACAGCAGGAACAAAAGGAAUUUUGUCUUGAGAUUAUAGCAGAAAAGUAAUUUUUGAAAUCUAUUCUUGGAUUUGGACGUUUAUUGGAUUUCAAAGCUUCUUGCUGCCCAGGAGCUUGUGAAUAUGGUCAAAGGUCCAUGAAAUUUCCAAAGUGGUACCACAGCAGAUGAACCUGAAUGCAAACUGAAGGGACCAACAGAAUCCAGCCUAUAGACAUAAAUCCUUAACUACACCUAGACCUCACUGUCUUUUCCAAUGGUCAAAAGAGGGGCUUUUGAAAUGGCUCCAUUGUUUUAUAGAAAACAAGGUCUUCCUAAGAAGUCUUUUUCUCCUGUCUUUUUCUUACCCAAAAUAAAGGAAUGGCCCAAAACCUCAAGCCAAGCUUACCAGCUAUAAACAAUUUGGUGGUCAGCAGCCAAAAGAAGAGUGGACACGCCAUGGUCAUGUGGCACGUACCCUAUACAAGCUUCACAGAGAAGAAUGGAAGUACUUGAUUGUAAGACAGAGUGGUGAGAUGUGAGAGGAAUGUUAACUUUCACUUUCCACAGGCAUUUUUUUCUGCAAAUGGCACCAACUUUGGGACUUAAAAUUUUAUUCCAAAUACUAUUUAGAUGCAUCAGGGCUCUCAAAAUAUGGAUUUCAAGUUGGAGACAUCAAAGUGCAUUAUUUACUAAAACCACUGCAGCUUUUUUCCCCUCUCCUUUCACAAGAUGCUAUUGUAAAUUCAGGCUGCUUUAAUCUCUGUGAUUAAAAAAAAAACAGAAAGAAAGAAAAAAAAGUGCAGCUUGAAGAGGAACUGAACUCACAAUCUGGGAGCUAGAAAGUAAAUAUUACCCAGAGAGUACCUCACUUUAAUUACUGGCCUGAACAUUGGUUUCAAUUUACAUGUGUUUUAAUUAGCCACGGAAGGGUUCACCUAUUAUUCUCUGAAUACAAAACUUAAAAAGCAAACAGAAAAUAGGGAAAGAAAGGCUUAUUUAAGGGCCUCCAAGGAUUAAUCUUUGCAUUCUUCUCAUUUUUUCCCCGAAUUUGGGGAUAAAAUUUGUCGCAGGGAGUUUGAUCUUAGGGAAACAUUGAGUUUGGUUUGUGAACACAAGCUACUUCUGAACGCUAUUUUAGCAAACAGAAUUUUAGAAGCAUAAGGCUCUAGCAGAGGGCUAUACAGAAUUUUGCAUAAACUAAAUAACAACUGUUUCCUCCUGAAAUGCAGGAAAUCAAGCUGCAUGGAUAUGUUUGCUGAUUGGUCCUUAGGUCUUCAGCAAAGCUUGGACCACUUGGCAAGGUCUUCUGUCUCCAGAGGAAUGAUGGGAAAAGCUAUGGGACAAAAGUCAGGAGAGUGGUGCUGGCUGAUCCUGGCCUGGACAUUGACUCCCUGGGGACUUUGGUGCUCUCUCGCGCGCUCUCUGUCUCCAGUGAUAAGCUGACCAGAUGUCUUGAAUUAAGUACAGCCCAGGGAAGCCAAAAGAUUGGACACCUAUGGGGUAGAAGGAGGACAGGAGCUGGAACUGAGGCUUCCACAUAAAACCAAGGCCCUUGAAGGGCUCCUCAGACUGGCAAUUAUCUGCUGUCAACUAUGAAAACUCCACCCACCAGCUCAGCAAAGCAGUAAGGCAGUUUUUACCUGCCUGAAACGUUGAAUACAGAAAAUGCUGCUGUGAGACAGCAAGGCAUUCAGAUACCUUGGCUGAAAGAACUACCUAAGGAUGUACUUCAGGAAAAAGGAGAAUUGAACCCAGAGCAAAGAUGAAGUGUGAGAAACAAUAAGGAGGUAAUCUUCUGAGAUGGCUUUCACAUGUCCAUUCCAGACUGUUCCAGCAUUUUGCAUUCUAGUGAAAAUCCAUGACUGUUAAUUUAAAAAUACUGCAUUGACAAAUGACAGCCCUCUCCAAAGACUACAAUGGCCAGGGGGAGAGACAGUGGACUUCAGGGACUACUUGAGAGGAAAAUCAGUACAGUUCAUUUCUUUUUACUUCAACUAAAAUGACUCUAGGUAAAAGUCCUAUGGGAUAGGUGCCUGGUUGAAAAUGUAUCUCUCACUGAGUUGUCCUUUUUUAGUUUUAUAGAUGUGCUCCAUCACACACAUAGGAAUUUCAUAAAAAUGUUUUUCUUUGCCACAGAGGUCAGGGUUUUGCAGGCCUUUGGAGAACAGAUAACACGCCUAAAUGUCAGCUCAACUAAAGAACCAUGUUACCCGACUGGAACGCCUCAAUCUUGGUACUUGGCAGACUUUGGGAACACCUCAAACCACAUGUACUUUAGAGAAUGCAGACAAGUCACAAAAUUAAUUCAGUCUAGUCUGGCCAAACACUCUCAAUGUACUUCUAAAUUUGAACUAAUUGAUAGCCUCUCCUCCCCCAAUUAUACUUGUUAUAGCCAAUUCAAUUGGUUUUAACUGGAUUCACAUAAAAUUCAUCUACUUUUUGCUUUCACAAAUAUAACUGACAGGAACAAACAAAAACAGUUCUAUCUGUAAAAAGCAAUGCAGUAAUAAAACUUUGGACCUUGAAGCUUACAGAAGACUAAUGAGAUAAUGUCUAAAAUGUGUUUGAGCUGCAUGUGUGAAAGGCUCUAUGGAGACAGAAAAUAUGAUAAAUAAUGCAAGUAACCUUUAUGUCAGGAAAGCUCCUGUCUUCUGGAGGAUAUAAUAUGUAUUAAAUAAAUAUUUUACAAAUAUGUUCCUGCUAAUCUUAUCUGUCAACUCCAGCCUAGGUAGGUUGAAAAGGACUAUUACUCCCAUCAAAACAAAUAGGAAUCUUAGUUUCUAAUGAAAAGUUU